AAUACAUGCAAGUCGAACGCUUCUUUCCUCCCGAGUGCUUGCACUCAAUUGGAAAGAGGAGUGGCGGACGGGUGAGUAACACGUGGGUAACCUACCCAUCAGAGGGGGAUAACACUUGGAAACAGGUGCUAAUACCGCAUAACAGUUUAUGCCGCAUGGCAUAAGAGUGAAAGGCGCUUUCGGGUGUCGCUGAUGGAUGGACCCGCGGUGCAUUAGCUAGUUGGUGAGGUAACGGCUCACCAAGGCCACGAUGCAUAGCCGACCUGAGAGGGUGAUCGGCCACACUGGGACUGAGACACGGCCCAGACUCCUACGGGAGGCAGCAGUAGGGAAUCUUCGGCAAUGGACGAAAGUCUGACCGAGCAACGCCGCGUGAGUGAAGAAGGUUUUCGGAUCGUAAAACUCUGUUGUUAGAGAAGAACAAGGACGUUAGUAACUGAACGUCCCCUGACGGUAUCUAACCAGAAAGCCACGGCUAACUACGUGCCAGCAGCCGCGGUAAUACGUAGGUGGCAAGCGUUGUCCGGAUUUAUUGGGCGUAAAGCGAGCGCAGGCGGUUUCUUAAGUCUGAUGUGAAAGCCCCCGGCUCAACCGGGGAGGGUCAUUGGAAACUGGGAGACUUGAGUGCAGAAGAGGAGAGUGGAAUUCCAUGUGUAGCGGUGAAAUGCGUAGAUAUAUGGAGGAACACCAGUGGCGAAGGCGGCUCUCUGGUCUGUAACUGACGCUGAGGCUCGAAAGCGUGGGGAGCAAACAGGAUUAGAUACCCUGGUAGUCCACGCCGUAAACGAUGAGUGCUAAGUGUUGGAGGGUUUCCGCCCUUCAGUGCUGCAGCAAACGCAUUAAGCACUCCGCCUGGGGAGUACGACCGCAACGUUGAAACUCAAAGGGAGUUGACGGGGGCCCGCACAAGCGGUGGAGCAUGUGGGUUUAAUUCGAAGCAACGCGAAGAACCUUACCAGGUCUUGACAUCCUUUGACCACUCUAGAGAUAGAGCUUUCCCUUUCGGGGACAAAGUGACAGGUGGUGCAU
This 1029-nucleotide ribosomal RNA is filed under the name Enterococcus faecalis. RNAcentral's name for it is "bacterial SSU rRNA". It matches the Rfam family "Bacterial small subunit ribosomal RNA", at positions 50 to 1046 of the family's 1533-position model. Lineage: Bacteria; Bacillati; Bacillota; Bacilli; Lactobacillales; Enterococcaceae. The record is from RNAcentral.